UCAGGCCUAACACAUGCAAGUCGAACGGGAUCUUCGGAUCUAGUGGCGGACGGGUGAGUAACGCGUGGGAACGUGCCCUUUGCUUCGGAAUAGCCCCUGGAAACGGGGAGUAAUACCGGAUGAGCCCUACGGGGGAAAGAUUUAUCGGCGAAGGAUCGGCCCGCGUUGGAUUAGGUAGUUGGUGGGGUAAUGGCCUACCAAGCCGACGAUCCAUAGCUGGUUUGAGAGGAUGAUCAGCCACACUGGGACUGAGACACGGCCCAGACUCCUACGGGAGGCAGCAGUGGGGAAUCUUAGAGAAUGGGGGAAACCCUGAUCUAGCCAUGCCGCGUGAGCAAGGAAGGCCUUAGGGUUGUAAAGCUCUUCAGCUGGGAAGAUAAUGAC
Molecule: ribosomal RNA, 384 nt
Filed under: uncultured bacterium
Lineage: Bacteria
Description: bacterial SSU rRNA
Rfam family: Bacterial small subunit ribosomal RNA
Source: RNAcentral